Molecule: ribosomal RNA, 253 nt
Filed under: uncultured bacterium
Lineage: Bacteria
Description: partial 16S ribosomal RNA
Rfam family: Bacterial small subunit ribosomal RNA
Source: RNAcentral
UACGAAGGGGGCUAGCGUUGCUCGGAAUCACUGGGCGUAAAGCGCACGUAGGCGGGUCUCUAAGUCAGGGGUGAAAUCCUGGAGCUCAACUCCAGAACUGCCUUUGAUACUGGGAAGCUUGAGUCCGGGAGAGGUGAGUGGAACUCCGAGUGUAGAGGUGAAAUUCGUAGAUAUUCGGAAGAACACCAGUGGCGAAGGCGGCUCACUGGCCCGGUACUGACGCUGAGGUGCGAAAGCGUGGGGAGCAAACAGG